Molecule: ribosomal RNA, 465 nt
Filed under: uncultured bacterium
Lineage: Bacteria
Description: partial 16S ribosomal RNA
Rfam family: Bacterial small subunit ribosomal RNA
Source: RNAcentral
GACGAACGCUGGCGGCGUGCUUAACACAUGCAAGUCGAACGGAAAGGCCCCUUUGGGGGUACUCGAGUGGCGAACGGGUGAGUAACACGUGAGUAACCUGCCCUUGACUUCGGGAUAACUUCAGGAAACUGGGGCUAAUACCGGAUAGGAAUCCUUGCUGCAUGGUGGGGGUUGGAAAGCUUCGGCGGUUUUGGAUGGACUCGCGGCUUAUCAGCUUGUUGGUGGGGUAGUGGCUUACCAAGGCUUUGACGGGUAGCCGGCCUGAGAGGGCGACCGGCCACAUUGGGACUGAGAUACGGCCCAGACUCCGACGGGAGGCAGCAGUGGGGAAUAUUGCACAAUGGGCGGAAGCCUGAUGCAGCAACGCCGCGUGCGGGAUGACGGCCUUCGGUUUGUAAACCGCUUUCAGCAGGGGCGAAGCUUGUGGUGACGGUACCUGCAGAAGAAGCACCGGCUAACUACGUG